Long non-coding RNA from Brassica napus (rape), 877 nucleotides. RefSeq lists it as uncharacterized. Lineage: Eukaryota; Viridiplantae; Streptophyta; Magnoliopsida; Brassicales; Brassicaceae. The record is from RefSeq and is a predicted model, not a curated record. The transcript has 6 exons.
AUUAAUAUUCGUUUGGGUUUUUGAUUUCACGUGAAAAAAAAAGCUUUGUAAAGCCCAUCUGAAAAAAGAGCAAGUCGCGUGUUUUCUGUUUCAAGGGUUGAACCCUUAUUCUUCUCUGCCGUCGUGAUGUAGUCUCAAACUCUAGGGUUUUGAUUCAUCUUCUUCCUCCAACCCUGAUAUUUACCAGUUUCAGAUUCAUCUUCUUAAAGUCCUCCUUGAUUCUAUUAUCCACGAUCUACAUUUAUUGUUUGCUUCGCUCUUGCAAACGGUGGAAACCUCAGUAUAUAAAGUCUGGAAGAUGUUCUUCCACAAGUGAGAUGAGGUUGUUUCGUUUCUAUGAGGCGAAGAAUAUUGGGAGGCGAGCCUAUGGGCGUUUACAUACUCCACCUCGGCGUUAAGGUUCCAAUGAUUUGUAUGGUGCAUCAUGAAGAUCUGAUAAGUUUAAACAUUCUAUGUCAAUAAAAUCAGCCAGAGAAUUGUUGCCCUUGGUCGUUCUGCUUCUGAUUGCAAUCCGUCAUGCCAUCUUUGAAGUCUCCAAGUUUGUCUGUUUCAUGGUGAAGCUCAACAUCUUUUUACAGAUAUGCCAAAGGGAGAGUUGAAAAAGUAUCAUCUCUCUCCUGAAUCCCUCUUUUAUUCUCCUAUUUUGCUUUGGUGAAAACAACAGUGAAAGACUUACAUUCUUAUUUUUCGCUUAUGGCUUAUUUAAAGCUUAUGAAGGAUUAGAAUUUUCAAGGACCGGAAGCACUGCAGUAAAAACGGUUUUUGAUUAGAACUUCUGCCAGCUUGAUAAACAACCAAGCUUGAUUGUAUUGUAUGUGUAUCUUAUCGAAUUUUGUUAAACAGAAAUAUCUCUAUUGUAAAAGUCUUUUUGUAUGUU